GAUGAACGCUAGCGAUAGGCCUAACACAUGCAAGUCGAGGGGCAUCACAUGAAGUAGCAAUACGGAUGGUGGCGACCGGCGCACGGGUGAGUAACACGUAUGCAACCUGCCUUCAACAAGGGGAUAACCCGUUGAAAGACGGACUAAUACCCUAUAACACAGGGGUCCCGCAUGGGGAUAUUUGUUAAAGGACAACCGGUUGAAGAUGGGCAUGCGUUCCAUUAGCUAGUUGGCGGGGUAAGGGCCCACCAAGGCAACGAUGGAUAGGGGAACUGAGAGGUUUAUCCCCCACACUGGUACUGAGACACGGACCAGACUCCUACGGGAGGCAGCAGUGAGGAAUAUUGGUCAAUGGACGCAAGUCUGAACCAGCCACGUCGCGUGAAGGAAGACGGCCCUACGGGUUGUAAACUUCUUUUGCAAGGGAAUAAAGUGGGCCACGUGUGGCCUUUUGCAAGUACCUUGCGAAUAAGGAUCGGCUAACUCCGUGCCAGCAGCC
This 499-nucleotide ribosomal RNA is filed under the name uncultured bacterium. RNAcentral's name for it is "bacterial SSU rRNA". It matches the Rfam family "Bacterial small subunit ribosomal RNA", at positions 28 to 516 of the family's 1533-position model. The record is from RNAcentral.